RNAcentral lists this ribosomal RNA (749 nucleotides) under uncultured Bacteroidota bacterium. RNAcentral's name for it is "bacterial SSU rRNA". It matches the Rfam family "Bacterial small subunit ribosomal RNA", at positions 81 to 827 of the family's 1533-position model. Lineage: Bacteria; Pseudomonadati; Bacteroidota. The record is from RNAcentral.
UGAUUGGGCGUCGACCGGCGCACGGGUGAGUAACGCGUAUCCAACCUGCCCACCACUUGGGGAUAACCUUGCGAAAGUAAGACUAAUACCCAAUGAUAUCUCUAGAAGACAUCUGAAAGGGAUUAAAGAUUUAUCGGUGAUGGAUGGGGAUGUGUCUGAUUAGCUUGUUGGCGGGGUAACGGCCCACCAAGGCGACGAUCAGUAGGGGUUCUGAGAGGAAGGUCCCCCACAUUGGAACUGAGACACGGUCCAAACUCCUACGGGAGGCAGCAGUGAGGAAUAUUGGUCAAUGGACGAGAGUCUGAACCAGCCAAGUAGCGUGCAGGAAGACGGCCCUAUGGGUUGUAAACUGCUUUUAUAAGGGAAUAAAGUGAGUCUCGUGAGACUUUCUGCAUGUACCUUAUGAAUAAGGACCGGCUAAUUCCGUGCCAGCAGCCGCGGUAAUACGGAAGGUCCGGGCGUUAUCCGGAUUUAUUGGGUUUAAAGGGAGCGUAGGCCGGAGAUUAAGCGUGUUGUGAAAUGUAGACGCUCAACGUCUGCACUGCAGCGCGAACUGGUUUCCUUGAGUACGCACAAAAGUGGGCGGAACUCGUGGUGUAGCGGUGAAAUGCUUAGAUAUCACGAAGAACUCCGAUUGCGAAGGCAGCUCACUGGAGCGCAACUGACGCUGAAGCUCGAAAGUGCGGGUAUCGAACAGGAUUAGAUACCCUGGUAGUCCGCACGGUAAACGAUGGAUGCCCGCUGUUGGU